AACGAACGCUGGCGGCAUGCCUAACACAUGCAAGUCGAACGAGACCUUCGGGUCUAGUGGCGCACGGGUGCGUAACGCGUGGGAACCUGCCCUUAGGUUCGGAAUAACUCCCCGAAAGGGGUGCUAAUACCGGAUAAUGUCUUCGGACCAAAGAUUUAUCGCCUUUGGAUGGGCCCGCGUUGGAUUAGCUAGUUGGUAGGGUAAAAGCCUACCAAGGCGACGAUCCAUAGCUGGUCUGAGAGGAUGAUCAGCCACACUGGGACUGAGACACGGCCCAGACUCCUACGGGAGGCAGGAGUGGGGAAUAUUGGACGAUGGGCGAAAGCCUGAUCCAGCAAUGCCGCGUGAGUGAUGAAGGCCUGAGGGUUGUAAAGCUCUGUUACCCGGGAUGAUAAUGACAGUACCGGGAGAAUAAGCUCCGGCUAACUACGUG
This 433-nucleotide ribosomal RNA is filed under the name uncultured bacterium. RNAcentral's name for it is "partial 16S ribosomal RNA". It matches the Rfam family "Bacterial small subunit ribosomal RNA", at positions 29 to 507 of the family's 1533-position model. The record is from RNAcentral.